GGUGAGAUGGCUGAAAAAGAAAGAGAAACAGAGAACCAAAAAAAAAAGAUCAUGGGAGAAAAAAAAUGUGGGAGAAAAAAUAUUGUUUACUAAAUAUUUAAGAUAAAUUUAUAAAUGAUAAUAACUGGAAUAUGUAAAUUUCCAUUUUUCGUUGUUUAGGUGGAAUACAUGAACAACAUAGAUUAGAACGAUGACUAAUAUGUGGGAUAUAUAUUUUGUCACAAACACAUCCUAAAGUUAUAGCUAGAACAAGUUAUGAAACAUAAAUAAGUUAAGUUAGGUCCUAUAGUAAAUUAUACAACACGUAUUCGAAGUAGAUGUAAACCACUGAUAUCUGGCUAUAAUGCAACCGAACAAAUUCUAACAAGAGUAGAAUAAACAGAAAAUUUUGUUUACAUUGUAUAUCCAAGUUAAAUAAUUGUAAUAUACUUUGUAUCCUAAUUAUGAACUUAACAGACUGUCAAAAUGAAUAUUUUAUGUUUAUCUAGGAUAUAAAAUAAUAUAUAGUUUUUAAAAAUAAUCAUAUAGUUUUACUUAUGUUUCUAAUAAUUUUCAUAUUUUUGAAAUUUUAAAAUUUUAAAAUACUAUUUUUUCACUACAUAAAAGUAAAAUAUAUCUAAAAAUAGUCUAAAAAAUCAAAAGUUGAGAGUGUUCCAUUUUUCUAAUUUUUUGUAUUAAAUAUAUCAAUUGAUCCAAAAUGAAAAAAAGAAAAGAAAAUAAUUUAUUACUAGGUCCGGAGCUGAAAAACGUGAUAACAUUUACGAUCGUAUGUAAUGGUUGUAGUUGUGGAUGCGAGAGUUUGCGGAUCCUAGAUCUAAUCGUCACCCCC
This 829-nucleotide long non-coding RNA is filed under the name Brassica napus (rape). Its description in RNAcentral is "long non-coding RNA (BNAP_LNC005563)". The record is from RNAcentral. Lineage: Eukaryota; Viridiplantae; Streptophyta; Magnoliopsida; Brassicales; Brassicaceae.